AAUGAAGCGUUGAAGACUUUAGAUAGGAAAAGCUUAAAUAAAAAUACGAAAUUUUCUGAGCCUGUUAAUAGUUUAAAAGUUCUAAUGAAAAAUCAUAAUUUUAUAGAUAUUUGGCGUAUUUUACAUAAAAGCACACAACAGUUUACAUGGAGAAGAAAGGAUAAGACACAAGCUAGUAGGAUAGAUUUAAUUUUAAUUGCAA
RNAcentral lists this long non-coding RNA (202 nucleotides) under Mytilus galloprovincialis (Mediterranean mussel). Lineage: Eukaryota; Metazoa; Mollusca; Bivalvia; Mytilida; Mytilidae. The record is from RNAcentral.